Molecule: ribosomal RNA, 717 nt
Filed under: Pantoea sp. LL47
Lineage: Bacteria; Pseudomonadati; Pseudomonadota; Gammaproteobacteria; Enterobacterales; Erwiniaceae
Description: partial 16S ribosomal RNA
Rfam family: Bacterial small subunit ribosomal RNA
Source: RNAcentral
GGGAAGGGGGCAGCUACCAUGCAGUCGGACGGUAGCACAGAGAACUUGGUCCCGUGUGAGAAGUGUGGGACGGGUGAGUAAUGUGUGGGGAUCUGCCCCAUAUAGGGGGAGAACCCCUGUGAACGGUGGGUAAUACCCCAUAACGUCUCAAGACCAAAAAGGGGGACCUUCUGGCCUCUCACUAUCUCAUGAGCCCCCAUGGGAUUAUCUAUUAUGCGGGGUAAUGGGCCCCCUAUGCGACAAUCCCCCUCUGGGCUGAGAGAAUGACCCCCCCCACUGUAACUGAGACACGGUCCCCACACCCACAGGAGGCGCCACUGGGGAAUAUUGUGCAAUGGGCGCACGCCUGAUGCACCCCUGCCCCGUGUGUAAAAAAAGCCUUCUCGUUGUAAAGUACUUUCUCCGCGGAGAAAAGCGACAGGGUUAAUAACCCCGUCUAUUGUGAUUACCCCCACAAAAAACACCGCCUAUAUCCCUGCCCCCACCCCCGCUAAUACAGAGGGUGUGAACGUUAUUCUCAAUUACUGUGCGUAAAGCGCACACACGCGGUCUGUUAAAUCUCAUAUGAAAUCUCCGGGCUCAUCCUGUGAACUGUGUUUUAAACUGUGACGCUUGAGUCUUGUGUAGAGGGGUAUAAAACUACGUGUGUCGCUGAGAUGCGUAUAGAUCUCUAGAAGAACACCUGUCGAAAGCGCGCCCCUGUGCAAAGACAGAGAC